Molecule: long non-coding RNA, 331 nt
Organism: Priapulus caudatus
Lineage: Eukaryota; Metazoa; Priapulida; Priapulimorpha; Priapulimorphida; Priapulidae
Exons: 2
Source: RefSeq, a predicted model, not a curated record
AGGUAAACAAAGUUCUCGGAAGAACGGGCUCACAAGGUCAGUGCACGCAGGUGCGUGUGGAAUUCCUGGAUGAGACUACUCGAUCCAUCAUUCGUAAUGUGAAGGGGCCAGUGCGCGAGGGAGACAUCCUCACGCUGUUGGAGUCUGAGCGAGAAGCUAGGAGACUGAGAUAGGAGGCACAAUUCUUCGACAGUGAGGUUCAUCUUAAUGGAAAACCCGAGGCAAUAUUUCUCAAGCUAGCAGUCCCAUCACUGGACACAUGGUUUCUGUGGAGCAGUCUGUUUAAAGUAAACAUGAAAUAAAUCAUUUCUGCUGAAGAAUUUAAAAAGUU